AGCGAACGCUGGCGGCAGGCCUAACACAUGCAAGUCGAACGGAUCCUUCGGGAUUAGUGGCGGACGGGUGAGUAACACGUGGGAACGUGCCCUUUGGUUCGGAACAACUCAGGGAAACUUGAGCUAAUACCGGAUGUGCCCUUCGGGGGAAAGAUUUAUCGCCAUUGGAGCGGCCCGCGUCUGAUUAGCUAGUUGGUGAGGUAAUGGCCCACCAAGGCGACGAUCAGUAGCUGGUCUGAGAGGAUGAUCAGCCACACUGGGACUGAGACACGGCCCAGACUCCUACGGGAGGCAGCAGUGGGGAAUCUUGCGCAAUGGGCGAAAGCCUGACGCAGCCAUGCCGCGUGAAUGAUGAAGGUCUUAGGAUUGUAAAAUUCUUUCAGCGGGGACGAUAAUGACGGUACCCGCAGAAGAAGCUCCGGCUAACUUCGUG
This 433-nucleotide ribosomal RNA is filed under the name uncultured bacterium. RNAcentral's name for it is "partial 16S ribosomal RNA". It matches the Rfam family "Bacterial small subunit ribosomal RNA", at positions 29 to 507 of the family's 1533-position model. The record is from RNAcentral.